UGCAAGUCGUGCGAGAAAGUCACCUUCGGGUGGUGAGUAAAGCGGCGAACGGGUGAGUAACACGUAAGAAACCUGCCCCUAAAUCCGGAAUAACAUUGCUAACGCGGUGCUAAUACCGGAUGUGGUCUCCAGUUUGCAUGAACAGGAGAUUAAAGGUGACCUCUACUUGUAAGUUAUCGUUUAGGGAUGGUCUUGCGGACCAUUAGCUUGUUGGCGGGGUAACGGCCCACCAAGGCUGCGAUGGUUAGCCGGCUUAAGAGGGUGAUCGGCCACAUUGGGACUGAGAUACGGCCCAGACUCCUACGGGAGGCAGCAGUAGGGAAUUUUGCGCAAUGGACGAAAGUCUGACGCAGCAACGCCGCGUGAGCGAUGAAGGUUUUCGGAUUGUAAAGCUCUGUUGAGUGGGAAGAAAACUCUCCGGGAUAAUACCCCGGAGACUUGACGGUACCACUCGAGGAAGCCCCGGCUAAAUACGUGCCAGCAGCCGCGGUAAUACGUAUGGGGCAAGCGUUGUUCGGAAUCACUGGGCGUAAAGGGAGUGUAGGCGGAAAGGUAAGUUAGAAGUGUAAUCCACGGGACUUAGCCGUGACUCGCUUUGAAUACUGCUUAACUUGAGUAUGGGAGAGGGAGAUGGAAUUCCAGGUGUAACGGUGAAAUGCGUAG
Molecule: ribosomal RNA, 663 nt
Filed under: uncultured organism
Description: bacterial SSU rRNA
Rfam family: Bacterial small subunit ribosomal RNA
Source: RNAcentral